ACGGGUGAGUAACGCGUGAGAAUCUACCUUUAGGAGGGGGAAAACAACUGGAAACGGUUGCUAACACCCCAUAUGCUGAGGAGUAAAAUACGUUGUGCCUAGAGAUGAGCUUGCGUCUGAUUAGUUAGUUGGUAAGGUAAUUGCUUCCCAAGACUAUGAUCAGUAGCUGGUCUGAGAGGAUGAUCAGCCACACUGGGACUGAGACACGGCCCAGACUCCUACGGGAGGCAGCAGUGAGGAAUUUUCCGCAAUGGGCGAAAGCCUGACGGAGCAAUGCCGCGUGGAGGAUGAAAGCCUAUGGGUUGUAAACUCCUUUUCUCAGAGAAGAAAUUUUGACGGUAUCUGAGGAAUAAGCAUCGGCUAACUCCGUGCCAGCAGCCGCGGUAAUACGGGGGAUGCAAGUGUUAUCCGGAAUAAUUGGGCGUAAAGCGUCUGUAGGUGGUUUACCAAGUCUGUUGUUAAAAAUCAGGGCUCAACCCUGAUCCGGCAACAGAAACUAGUAGACUUGAGUACGGUAGGGGCAGAGGGAAUUCUCGGUGUAGUGGUGAAAUACGUAGAUAUCGAGAAGAACACCAAUAGCGAAAGCACUCUGCUGGGCCGAAACUGACAUUGAGAGACGAAAGCUAGGGGAGCAAAAGGGAUUAGAUACCCCUGUAGUCA
Molecule: ribosomal RNA, 660 nt
Filed under: uncultured cyanobacterium
Lineage: Bacteria; Bacillati; Cyanobacteriota
Description: bacterial SSU rRNA
Rfam family: Bacterial small subunit ribosomal RNA
Source: RNAcentral